UCGUAUAACAGAGGUGCGAGGGCUGUCGCUGACUUUUCAAGUCGUGCACGCCCGAGCGCUCUCACACAGUCCACGUCACCCCUAUGUGCACCACCGCGUGGGUCCCCCUUUCAAGGGGGGCUCGCGUUUUCACACAAACUUGAAGUAGUGUAGAAUGUCUUUUUUAUUUGCGAUGACACGCAAUCAAUA
RNAcentral lists this unclassified non-coding RNA (189 nucleotides) under uncultured Russula. Its description in RNAcentral is "sequence contains ITS1". Lineage: Eukaryota; Fungi; Basidiomycota; Agaricomycetes; Russulales; Russulaceae. The record is from RNAcentral.